RNAcentral lists this ribosomal RNA (316 nucleotides) under Pseudo-nitzschia pungens. Its description in RNAcentral is "partial Bacterial small subunit ribosomal RNA". It matches the Rfam family "Bacterial small subunit ribosomal RNA", at positions 46 to 354 of the family's 1533-position model. Lineage: Eukaryota; Bacillariophyta; Bacillariophyceae; Bacillariales; Bacillariaceae. The record is from RNAcentral.
GGCCUAACACAUGCAAGUCGAGGGGUAACAGGAAAAAGCUUGCUUUUUCGCUGACGACCGGCGCACGGGUGCGUAACGCGUAUAGAAUCUACCUUUUACUAAGGGAUAGCCUUUAGAAAUGAAGAUUAAUACCUUAUAGUAUUGCAAAUUGGCAUCAAUUUGUAAUUAAAGAUUUAUUGGUAAAAGAUGACUAUGCGUUCUAUUAGUUAGUUGGUGAGGUAACGGCUCACCAAGACAGCGAUAGAUAGGGGUCCUGAGAGGGAGAUCCCCCACACUGGUACUGAGACACGGACCAGACUCCUACGGGAGGCAGCAG